GACGAACGCUGGCGGCGUGCUUAACACAUGCAAGUCGAACGGAAAGGCCCUGCUUUUGUGGGGUGCUCGAGUGGCGAACGGGUGAGUAACACGUGAGUAACCUGCCCUUGACUUUGGGAUAACUUCAGGAAACUGGGGCUAAUACCGGAUAGGAGCUCCUGCUGCAUGGUGGGGGUUGGAAAGCUUCGGCGGUUGGGGAUGGACCCGCGGCUUAUCAGCUUGUUGGUGGGGUAGUGGCUUACCAAGGCUUUGACGGGUAGCCGGCCUGAGAGGGUGACCGGCCACAUUGGGACUGAGAUACGGCCCAGACUCCUACGGGAGGCAGCAGUGGGGAAUAUUGCACAAUGGGCGGAAGCCUGAUGCAGCAACGCCGCGUGCGGGAUGACGGCCUUCGGGUUGUAAACCGCUUUCGCCUGUGACGAAGCGUGAGUGACGGUAAUGGGUAAAGAAGCACCGGCUAACUACGUG
RNAcentral lists this ribosomal RNA (468 nucleotides) under uncultured bacterium. RNAcentral's name for it is "partial 16S ribosomal RNA". It matches the Rfam family "Bacterial small subunit ribosomal RNA", at positions 28 to 507 of the family's 1533-position model. The record is from RNAcentral.